This 484-nucleotide ribosomal RNA is filed under the name uncultured bacterium. Its description in RNAcentral is "partial 16S ribosomal RNA". It matches the Rfam family "Bacterial small subunit ribosomal RNA", at positions 30 to 507 of the family's 1533-position model. The record is from RNAcentral.
AUUGAACGCUGGCGGCAGGCCUAACACAUGCAAGUCGAGCGGAAGAAGGGUGCUUGCUUGUGGUUUCAGCGGGGGACGGGCGAGUGAUGCCUAGGAAUCUGCCUGGUAGUGGGGGAUAACGUCCGGAAACGGGCGCUCAUACGGCAUAAGUCCUGAGGGCGUAAGUGGGGGAUCUUCGGACCUUCCGAUAUCAGGUGAGCCUAGGUGGGAUUAGCUAGUUGGUGGGGUAAAGGCCUACCAAGGCGACGAUCCGUAACUGGUCUGAGAGGAUGAUCAGUCACACUGGAACUGAGACACGGUCCAGACUCCUACGGGAGGCAGCAGUGGGGAAUAUUGGACAAUGGGCGAAAGCCUGAUCCAGCCAUACCGCGUGUGUGAAGAAGGUCUUCGGAUUGUAAAGCACUUUAGUUGGGGAAGAAAGGCAGUAAGUUAAUACCUUGCUGUUUUGACGGUACCAACAGAAUAAGCACCGGCUAACUUCGUG